Molecule: long non-coding RNA, 1603 nt
Organism: Nicrophorus vespilloides
Lineage: Eukaryota; Metazoa; Arthropoda; Insecta; Coleoptera; Silphidae
Exons: 3
Source: RefSeq, a predicted model, not a curated record
AAGGUUAAAUGAAGCGAAUACAUAUUUUUAUCCAGUAGUAGCACAGUGGACGUCGUACAAGAAGGAUAUAUUAUAUCAAGUAUAUAAUUUUGUGGACAGUAACUUUGUAGAGUUAAUGUUUUAGAGAAAACAUGUUUUGUUUACUUCUUGCUUUGUUAUUGGCAAUAAUAUGUUUGUACAACUAUAAGAAAUUGAAUUAUUGGACUAACAAAGGUGUUAAACAAAAAGGAGGGUUGAAUUUAUUUGAAUUGUAUAAAAUGUUUUUUAUGACCAAAUCAUUUGCGGAUUUUUAAAAGAUACAUACAAUGAAUUUCCAACUUCAAGGUAAGUUAACGAUUAUAAUGGUCUCAUAUGUAAUGAUUUGUUUCAGAUACAGCGGUAGUUAUCAAUUUUGUAGACCCUUACUAGUAUUAAAAGAUUCCGAGUUGAUAAAGCAGAUAACAGUGAAAGACUUUUACCGAUCACGUGGACUUAGUUCCGGAAGGUACCGAACCACUUUUUACCAGUAAUUUGUUUUCUUUGAAAGGUGAUAAAUGGCGAGAUAUGCGGACACUUCGAGUCCAGCUUUUACUGGUAGUAAAAUGCGAGCAAUGUUUACUUUAAUGUCAGACUGCGCCCAAGAAGUAGCAAAAUACUUUGAAACCCAUCCUGAAGAAACCAAUUCCGUUGAAAUGAAGGAUCUAUUUACGAGGUACAUUAACGACGUCAUGGCAACUUGCGCUUUUGGAGUAUAAUGCAAUUCAUUUAAACAAAGGAAUAAUGAGUUUUAUUUGAUGGGAAAGAUGGCAACAGAUUUUACGGGUUUUUGAAGACUAUGAAAUUGAUGAUAUACAUAAUGUUACCGAAAUUGAGCAAAGUAAUAAAUAGUGAGAUAUGAGAGAAAUGCUUACAUUUUCAUUUGCAAUUAGUAAAAUCAAGAAGAAAGUAAAUCUAUUAAGUUGAAGGAUUUUUUGACAAGGUACACUAACGACGUUAAGCAAUUUGCGAUUUUAGAAUACAAAACAAUUCAACUAAACAAAGGAAAGUUGGCAACCAAAUUGUGUCACAUUGAUGAUAUUUUGCAUGAUGCCAAAAUUAUGCAAAGAGUGUAAAAUCUUAUAUUGAUUAUCGAAGAAUAGUAAAUUGGAAAGACAUGAGUCUUAAGCGUUAAUUUUCUAUUUUGUCAGUUUUGAUACUGUUUCCACAUUUAUGGUCCUAACAGCUUACAAAUCGGUUAUUAAUCCAGAUAUUCAAUAAAGAUUUCGAAAUGAAAUCGAUGAUAUUCUUGCGGAAAGAUAACUGAAUUCAUCAACAAAAUGAAAUAUUUGGAUAUGGUUAAAACUUAUCUAAGAUUUUGUUUUACGAGCUACAAUUUAUAAACUAACGUUUAAACUACUCACAAUUAAGAGAUACGUAAUCAUUUAAAGACAUAUGUUACGCCUUUGAAAAGGCGGUAUAUUAUUUCUUUUAAAACUCUGGACACCGUGAAUUGGAAUUGCGGAAUUUUAGUGGGGUUUAUGAAAAUUAUAUGCAAUAUUCUCAAAUAUUUUUAUUGUACAAGUGUUGAUCUCAUAGAUUGUUAACUAAGGGUAACAAUUUAAUCUUUUAAGUUAAUAAACUUACC